ACCGCUCGGAGAUGCCCAGACUCAGUUUUUAUUUUCGUCCCAAUGCUUUUCUUCCCAUGGACUAGUUUUGUUUCUUUGAUCUUGUGCAACCUAUUUAGGCCGAUGAUAGCCCGCGGAUAGGUGUGGAAACCCAUCUAUAUUGCACCCAGUAGGACACAGAAAAAAAGCCCAGGGCCUAGGGGUCGGGUGGGGCUCGUUCGGGGUGCACAACGGUUGCGCCAAAAACGGUCCAAAAAUGGCCAAGGCUUUACCAUACGAAAAAUCGGCCGAUUUUUAACCAUGUGAGAAACGUCCCGAAAAUUCACAGAUAACUACUAGGAGGCCUCACUCUGAGUAAUAUCAAAGUUUUUUCCCACAAGAACCGCUCGGAGAUGCCCAGACUCAGUUUUUAUUUUCGUCCCAAUACUUUUCUUCCAUGGACUAGUUGUGUUUCUUUGAUCUUGUGCAACCUAUUUAGGCCGAUGAUAGCCCGCGGAUAGGUGUGGAAACCCAUCUAUAUUGCACCCAGUACGACACAGAAAAAAAGCCCAGGGCCUAGGGGUCGGGUGGGGCUCGUUCGGGGUGCACAACGGUUGCGCCAAAAACGGUCCAAAAAUGGCCAAGGCUUUACCAUACGAAAAAUCGGCCGAUUUUUAACCAUGUGAGAAACGUCCCGAAAAUUCACAGAUAACUACUAGGAGGCCUCACUCUGAGUAAUAUUAAAGUUUUCUCCCACAAGAACCGCUCGGAGAUGCCCAGACUCAGUUUUUAUUUUCGUCCCAAUGCUUUUCUUCCCAUGGACUAGUUGUGUUUCUUUGAUCUUGUGCAACCUAUUUAGGCCGAUGAUAGCCCGCGGAUAGGUGUGGAAACCCAUCUAUAUUGCACCCAGUACGACACAGAAAAAAAGCCCAGGGCCUAGGGGUCGGGUGGGGCUCGUUCGGGGUGCACAACGGUUGCGCCAAAAACGGUCCAAAAAUGGCCAAGGCUUUACCAUACGAAAAAUCGGCCGAUUUUUAACCAUGUGAGAAACGUCCCGAAAAUUCACAGAUAACUACUAGGAGGCCUCACUCUGAGUAAUAUCAAAGUUUUUUCCCACAAGAACCGCUCGGAGAUGCCCGGACUCAGUUUUUAUUUUCGUCCCAAUACUUUU
Molecule: long non-coding RNA, 1129 nt
Filed under: Cucumis sativus (cucumber)
Lineage: Eukaryota; Viridiplantae; Streptophyta; Magnoliopsida; Cucurbitales; Cucurbitaceae
Description: long non-coding RNA (CSAT_LNC001505)
Source: RNAcentral